RNAcentral lists this ribosomal RNA (800 nucleotides) under Bacillus sp. CU18. RNAcentral's name for it is "bacterial SSU rRNA". It matches the Rfam family "Bacterial small subunit ribosomal RNA", at positions 380 to 1173 of the family's 1533-position model. The record is from RNAcentral. RNAcentral also lists the same sequence under 1 other name. Lineage: Bacteria; Bacillati; Bacillota; Bacilli; Caryophanales; Bacillaceae.
AGUCUGACGGAGCAACGCCGCGUGAGUGAUGAAGGUUUUCGGAUCGUAAAGCUCUGUUGUUAGGGAAGAACAAGUGCAAGAGUAACUGCUUGCACCUUGACGGUACCUAACCAGAAAGCCACGGCUAACUACGUGCCAGCAGCCGCGGUAAUACGUAGGUGGCAAGCGUUGUCCGGAAUUAUUGGGCGUAAAGGGCUCGCAGGCGGUUUCUUAAGUCUGAUGUGAAAGCCCCCGGCUCAACCGGGGAGGGUCAUUGGAAACUGGGAAACUUGAGUGCAGAAGAGGAGAGUGGAAUUCCACGUGUAGCGGUGAAAUGCGUAGAGAUGUGGAGGAACACCAGUGGCGAAGGCGACUCUCUGGUCUGUAACUGACGCUGAGGAGCGAAAGCGUGGGGAGCGAACAGGAUUAGAUACCCUGGUAGUCCACGCCGUAAACGAUGAGUGCUAAGUGUUAGGGGGUUUCCGCCCCUUAGUGCUGCAGCUAACGCAUUAAGCACUCCGCCUGGGGAGUACGGUCGCAAGACUGAAACUCAAAGGAAUUGACGGGGGCCCGCACAAGCGGUGGAGCAUGUGGUUUAAUUCGAAGCAACGCGAAGAACCUUACCAGGUCUUGACAUCCUCUGACAACCCUAGAGAUAGGGCUUUCCCUUCGGGGACAGAGUGACAGGUGGUGCAUGGUUGUCGUCAGCUCGUGUCGUGAGAUGUUGGGUUAAGUCCCGCAACGAGCGCAACCCUUGAUCUUAGUUGCCAGCAUUUAGUUGGGCACUCUAAGGUGACUGCCGGUGACAAACCGGAGGAAGG